Long non-coding RNA from Grammomys surdaster, 1355 nucleotides. RefSeq lists it as uncharacterized. NCBI's taxonomy places the organism in Eukaryota, Metazoa, Chordata, Mammalia, Rodentia, Muridae. The transcript is spliced from 4 exons. The record is from RefSeq and is a predicted model, not a curated record.
AUAAGAAUCACGGGUGCUGAAAAUGGAUGCUAGAGACUCCAACAGGAAAGAUGGCAUACAGCUGUAGGUUUGAAAUGGGAGGAAAGAGAUGUGAAUAUUUAUACACACAAGCCGUUGGGGAGGGCUGAGUCUUGCCUUGAGUAUCUGUGCAGAAGAGGAGAGGGAGACAACAGACACCAGCAAAGCAUUCCUAAAACACGAUAUGCUACACACGUUCCCAGUAGGGACAGACGCCUAAAGAAGCCUGUUUGUGUGCUGUGGCCACGUUCUGCUGUGACUGGAUCUUGUCCUCUGCCUGGCUCCUCGAUUUCCGUCCGGCUGGAUUUGGGACCAACACUGCCUGGCGCAGACAGAUCAAAUGAGACUUCAAAGAAGCAUAAAAUGAACAGCCUAUUCAAUCAAACAAAGGUAAUUUAAAAUUUUUUGUUUGACAAAAUCUGAUGUUCAAAACAAAAAUAGAAUAUUGUUUACUGGAAGUCAGGUCAUCAGUCUCUCACAUUUCUUUUGCAGCAGAUAGAAUUCCAGAUACAUCUAAGUUUCAGUUUGUACAGUUAUUUCUUCUGUUGGAGCCUUUGUAUGUAUGUAAUGUAUACAUAUAUGUAUGUGCAUAGAACAUAAUAUAAAUAAAGCCUACAAUAGCCUAUAAGAAAGAAGCUCAUAUUUAGAAAGAAGGGUAAGAUAUUUUUACUAUAAUGAAAGCCAGUUGAGUUCAUCACUUGGACCAUGGACAUUGAUGUAAACGAAAUUGUUUAAAAAAAUAAGACAAUAGUAGUAUUGACUGUAGAUUACAAUUUGCACACUUGUAAUUCUUACAAACCAAAUAAUUCAAGUGAGUUGAUGUUUGGUCAGUUCUUUAUGCAUUCAUUCUGCAUUAAUGUGUAUAGGAUUCAAAGAUAUUCUAAAUAUCGGUCAUAAACCAAGUGUAUAUGAAUUAAUUAAUAGCAUAAUUCUGACCCAGAUAUGAGGAAAACCAUAACUUUUACUUUAAACCAAGAGAGACUGUUUUAUUCCCAAGUAAACCAGGAUGUUUCAAGUCAUGUUUCAGCAAUUUGGAGACCAAUAAAAGAUUCAAAAGCAAGCACGACAACCACAUGCUAAUCUACUAUUUACUAGUGAGAAUUUGUUAGAGGAAAAAGCAGUCAGGUCUCUUGAAUUCACUAUAUCCUUCACUAUGCUGAUUUUCAAGUAGAUAUUCUGUAGCUCAGCUAAAAAUCUAAGUUUAAAGUGUAGUUACUAAGAUAUGCUCUUUACACAUGACGUCGCUAGGACUCCUUGAGGCAUAUGUAAUUGUAAGGUACUGUGGGGUGUAUAUAAUAAUACAUAUGAUAAAUCAUGUUAUAAACCUUGCCAAUAUU